UCACACCACCAUGGGGGCUGUUCCCCAAAGCAUUUCCCUGCCCAUAUCACCUGCAAUCAUGGAAAUUGCAUGCAAAUCUCGACUAUGGAGUCUGUUGCCUGGGGAACCUGGCGUACGACUCCAAGGUUAGCACAGCUUUCCAUUCAAAUGUGUCUGUGGUGUCAUCUAUCCUGGCAUCUCAACAUCUAAUCAAGAGGUUUUCUAAAUCCCUGCUAUGAGUGAGACCAUCUGAUAUUUUUCUUAAAUGACAUUGUUUGAGGACCUGCUGUGCUCCUGCUGGGCAACACCAGCAGACCGUCAUGGUCAGCGAGCCAGAGGACAACUGUGGUCUCCAUGCUCUCUCCUAGCUGGAGUCUCCUUUUCCCAUCAGCAAAAGACAAACUAGAUCUCUGGGUGUCAGCCACUGAAGAGCCCAACCCAGCCUUUGUUCUCAGUGUUGGAAAAUGGACCUUGGCCGCCAGCACUUGUGAAAACACCUGGAAUAAAAUGACACAAGGGGAAUGGAAAUCAGAAAAGAGAAGCUACCUGGGUAAAAAGAGACAAAAGGAGCUCAGCGUAGGCCAGGAGCAGCUCAUAUC
Talpa occidentalis (Iberian mole) is the source of this 578-nucleotide long non-coding RNA. RefSeq lists it as uncharacterized. The record is from RefSeq and is a predicted model, not a curated record. Lineage: Eukaryota; Metazoa; Chordata; Mammalia; Eulipotyphla; Talpidae. The transcript is spliced from 3 exons.